AGAGAGAGACAUGCGCGCAUAUCAAUAAGCGGAGGAAAAGAAACUAACAAGGAUUCCCUUAGUAACGGCGAGUGAAGCGGGAAGAGCUCAAAUUUGAAAUCUUCAAGGUUUUACCUUGACGAAUUGUAGUUUAAAGAAGUGUUUUCUGCUGAAGUUUUGGUAAAAGUUCUUUGGAAUAGGACAUCAUAGAGGGUGAGAAUCCCGUAUUUGACCAUUAUUUUCAGGCUUUGUGAUACACUUUCAAAGAGUCGGAUUGUUUGGGAAUGCAGUCCAAAAUGGGUGGUAAAUUUCAUCUAAAGCUAAAUAUUGGCGAGAGACCGAUAGCGAACAAGUACCGUGAGGGAAAGAUGAAAAGAACUUUGAAAAGAGAGUUAAACAGUACGUGAAAUUGUCAAAAGGGAAGCGUUUGACACCAGUGUUGUUUCUCUCGAAAAUCAAUUAAAAAUGGCCUCGAUUUUGUAUUGUUGAGACCUUAAAAGCUCACUGUACAUUUUUCGUGUCUUUUUUAAUGCACUUUUCGUUUAACAAGUCAACAUCAGUUUCUUUUGUUGUAAAAGGGUCAUUGGAAGGUGGCUUUCUUUUCGGAGAAAGUGUUUAUAGCCUUUGGCCUCUGCAAUCGGAGAGACUGAGGUCUGCAGCGUAGACUCUUCGGGGUUAGAUACAUUUGUGCUAAGUUAUAGCUUUUUAUAGACAACUUGUUGACUAUAAUUAGUCUUGUAGCUUACUCGCUUAUGCUAUUUACCUACGCCUUAGGAUGUUGAAGAUGUAGCACAUCA
Molecule: ribosomal RNA, 776 nt
Filed under: uncultured Neocallimastigales
Lineage: Eukaryota; Fungi; Neocallimastigomycota; Neocallimastigomycetes; Neocallimastigales
Description: partial large subunit ribosomal RNA
Rfam family: Eukaryotic large subunit ribosomal RNA
Source: RNAcentral